This 1401-nucleotide ribosomal RNA is filed under the name Triticum aestivum (bread wheat). Its description in RNAcentral is "partial small subunit ribosomal RNA". Lineage: Eukaryota; Viridiplantae; Streptophyta; Magnoliopsida; Poales; Poaceae. The record is from RNAcentral.
AUGGGGAGAAAGUUGCCCCCUUUUGCCCCGGCCGUGGUGUCGACGCAGACGGCGGCCGGAAGGAAACGCAAAACAGCCUCCUUGGCUCCGCUCACCCCCCGGAAGCGCUGGGUGCGGGCAAGCGGUGGCUGGGCGUCUCUGCCCAUCGACAUAAUCUGCCUCAUUCUCCGGCAGCUCGUCGCCAUCGGCGGCGGCGGCGACGUUGUGGACUACAUCGCCUUCCGCGCCGUCUGCUUCGGCUGGCGCGCCUGCACGCCCACGCCGCGUGACCCCACACUGCGGGAUCCGCGCCUCCGGCCGCGCGCCUGGGUUGCGCUGUGCGACGGUGACGCGGUACGCCCGGACGACGCCUGCGAGAUCCCCUUCUUCCACACGCGCACGGCCAGGUGCAUCCGCGUUCGCCUGCCAGAGCUCCGACGCCACAGAAUCGUCGGCUUCACCGACGGCCUCGUCAUCCUCCUGCACAAGAGCACCACCGCUGUCCGCGUGCUUCACCCCUUCACGCUUGUCGCCGUUGACCUCCCGCCCCUCGCCGCCGUGUACCGCGAGGUGAUCGGGCCAAAGAAGCACCAUCUGCUUGAAAUGAAUGCUGUGGUAUGCAGCAGCGCGACCUCCGCGAACUCCAUCGCUGUCAUGGUCUGGUUCCACUCGGCAAGGGUGGUGCUCGUCGCGGAGCCAGGUUCAGACUGGAAGGUACUCCAUCGAGGGAUUUAUGUUCGGAGCAUGCUGCAAUUCCAAGGAAGGCUCUACGCCACCUUCUCGGCUUCAAAAGAGAUCGUGCAGCUAUAUCCACCGAGACAACCACGGCUUGAGAAUUCGCUGGUGGUUGCUCGUAUUCCAGAUAUAUUUGGUGAGCACAUUUUCUGUCAGUUUUUCCUGGUGGAGUCUGGUGGACGAAUGCUGCUCGUUGUACAGUAUCCCCCUGGUCAUGGAAGAAAGAUGGAAUGGUCACGACAAGUAGGCUUCAGGCUCUAUGCAGUGGAUUUGUGCAGCAAAGGCAUUGGUAACUUGAUUCCGGUGAGCUGCCUAGGUGAUCGUGCGUUGUUUCUCAACAGCGAUCGAUGCCUGGCUGUUUCGGCCAGGGACCUCCCUUCUCUGAGCAGCAACUCCAUCUACUUCUCUUUACCGGACAGCCCUGUUGUGGUGCACUCAUUGAGGACUGGAUUGUCGGAGCAGUUGGCGGAGCACUGCCAAAUACACAACUCGGUGGAUAGGAUCCGCCCCUCUGUGCGCCCAUUUAGCAUUGUUGAUCAUCUUCUCACCUACUGCCAUCCUUCUCACUGGACUGAAGGACUCAUGUUUCAUGAGUACCAUCAUAUACCUGAUUCUUUCAAGGAAUUGAGGAAGAACAUCCAGGCAAAAGAUUCACGACUGCGGAUUCCGCGCAUCAUGGGCCAGUGA